AUGUAUUUGAAAACACCUAUAUACCAUAGCUAAAAAUGGGUAAAAUCCAUGGUAUAUCAACUCCCCCAGACUUACUCUUUUGCUUGUCCUCAAGCAAAACAACGAGCAGUCUCUCUUGAAACGGUUUCGAAACAGCAGGGACUCACGCAAUUUAAGAACUUACUAUCAUCACCUCAACACCAUUUCAAACCACAUCAAAUCAAUCUUUACUUAAAAGUACGUUUUCUGCAAUAUCCUAGUUUAGAAACCAAAUCCAUUCAUCAAGCAACUAAACUAAUCAUGUCUGACUAACCCCUCUACUUGCCUCAUUUAAUACAUGUAAAUAAAAGAUGUAGACUUUACCUUGGGAGUAUCGAUCACUGAACACAUGGAAUCAACUCAAACAAUUAAUCUGGACCUACAUGUAACCCCUUUCUGAUUCC
RNAcentral lists this long non-coding RNA (422 nucleotides) under Brassica napus (rape). RNAcentral describes it as "long non-coding RNA (BNAP_LNC004540)". Lineage: Eukaryota; Viridiplantae; Streptophyta; Magnoliopsida; Brassicales; Brassicaceae. The record is from RNAcentral.